Molecule: RNA transcript, 854 nt
Organism: Melospiza melodia melodia
Lineage: Eukaryota; Metazoa; Chordata; Aves; Passeriformes; Passerellidae
Gene name: serine/arginine repetitive matrix protein 3-like
Exons: 2
Source: RefSeq, a predicted model, not a curated record
UUUACGUUCGCGGGGCCGUGGGGUUUCGCUCCUCGCCUGGCGGCGCGGCUGCUGUCCGGCUCUGUGCUCAGUUCCCUUUUUUUUUUUUUUUUUUUUUUGGAGGGCCGCGUUCAUUCAUGGAUGAGGCGGGAAAGCGCUCCCUCCUGCAACAAUGUGCGCAACCCCACGCCCACGCGAGGCCGAGCCUGUGCGUACUCAUGCCCAAGGCACCGCUGGGAGAAGGCGGCCAAAGUUUCCCUGAAAAGAAGACGGCGGGGGUUGGGAUUCCUUUCCUUUAGAAAAUAAACGAGCUGUUUGUGCCCCUGGGAAUGCCUUGAGCUCCCGGGCUCCUGGAAAGUGCAGCCAAGCUGGCUGCCCUUCCCUGCCUGCGGGGCAGCCAGGGACUCUCCUCCGCCUCUCCGGGAGAGGAAACGGGGCAGGGACGCCAGCGGACCCACACGCACCUCCGGCUCUCCCCGGCCACCGAAUCCCCUUGAGGAAACCACAUCUGUGCGUCUUGGCCCCUUCCCCGUGCCCAGCCGCGUUCAAAGGAAGCCCCGUGCUGGUCCCGCAUUUCCUGGGCCAGGCUCCAGGUUCCCCCUCCUCUGCCUCUCGCGGGGGGAAAACUCGCAGGAUUUGGCCCACGGCUGCCAAAAGGGGGGCGAGAGGCUCUAGGGGGAGCUCAAGGGGGAGAGAGACCCGCCGGUCCCCUCCCUUCUCUCCCCCACGGGAGACGAGCCAGUGCUCCCGGCUAGUGUGGCCGCCGUGGGGGUUUCAGUGAUGCUGCAAGGCAAGGAAUGGGAAUAAAUGAUCCCCGGGUUUUAAAAGCGGCUGCUCGAUGGUUUUAUUGCACAGUAAAAACUUCAUGCAAAGUA